RNAcentral lists this ribozyme (125 nucleotides) under unclassified sequences. Its description in RNAcentral is "Hairpin ribozyme 1 from viruses-like metatranscriptomes". It matches the Rfam family "Hairpin ribozyme 1 from viruses-like metatranscriptomes". The record is from Rfam by way of RNAcentral.
AUACUGUCUGAUUUCGUAUGGUUUGUAUUCCAUACAUAGUCAAGAAGUAUUCCAAGGAAACACACCACUUUGAUCAUCGUGCUAUAGCUAAUAGCACUCACAUUAUUGGUGGCACAUUACUUGGA